GAUGAACGCUGGCGGCGUGCCUAAUACAUGCAAGUCGAACGAGAGGGCCAGGAGCUUGCUCUGCUGACGUUAGCGGCGGACGGGUGAGUAACACGUGGAUAACCUGCCCAUCAGAGGGGGAUAACAUCGGGAAACGGAUGCUAAUACCGGAUAGUAUUUCGAACCGCAUGGUUCGAUAGGGAAAGACGGCUUUGGCGUCUCUUAUAGAUGGAUCCGCGCUGCAUUAGCUAGUUGGUAAGGUAACGGCUUACCAAGGCAGUGAUGCGUAGCCGACCUGAGAGGGUGAUCGGCCACACUGGAACUGAGACACGGUCCAGACUCCUACGGGAGGCAGCAGUAGGGAAUCUUCCGCAAUGGGCGAAAGUCUGACGGAGCAACGCCGCGUGAGUGAUGAAGGUCUUCGGAUCGUAAAACUCUGUUAUUAGGGAAGAACAAGUGUUUGAGUAACUGUGCGCGUCUUGACGGUAUCUAAUCAGAAAGCCACGGCUAACUACGUG
RNAcentral lists this ribosomal RNA (497 nucleotides) under uncultured bacterium. RNAcentral describes it as "partial 16S ribosomal RNA". It matches the Rfam family "Bacterial small subunit ribosomal RNA", at positions 28 to 507 of the family's 1533-position model. The record is from RNAcentral.